GUUUUAAUAAUUUAAUAUAAAAUUUUGGUCUUGUAAAUCAACAAUAGGAAUCUUCCUUUAAAACA
Molecule: transfer RNA, 65 nt
Filed under: Coleoptera sp. 3 KM-2017
Lineage: Eukaryota; Metazoa; Arthropoda; Insecta; Coleoptera
Description: tRNA-Thr
Source: RNAcentral